RNAcentral lists this ribosomal RNA (361 nucleotides) under uncultured bacterium. RNAcentral's name for it is "bacterial SSU rRNA". It matches the Rfam family "Bacterial small subunit ribosomal RNA", at positions 29 to 417 of the family's 1533-position model. The record is from RNAcentral.
AGCGAACGCUGGCGGCAGGCUUAACACAUGCAAGUCGAGCGGGCGUAGCAAUACGUCAGCGGCAGACGGGUGAGUAACGCGUGGGAACAUACCUUUUGGUUCGGAACAACACAGGGAAACGUUGUGCUAAUACCGGAUAAGCCCUUACGGGGAAGGAUUAUCGCCGAAGAUUGGCCCGCGUCUGAUUAGCUAGUUGGUGAGGUAACGGCUCACCAAGGCGACGAUCAGUAGCUGGCUGAGAGGAUGAUCAGCCACAUUGGGACUGAGACACGGCCCAAACUCCUACGGGAGGCAGCAGUGGGGAAUAUUGGACAAUGGGCGAAAGCCUGAUCCAGCCAUGCCGCGUGAGUGAUGAAGGCCC